RNAcentral lists this transfer RNA (62 nucleotides) under Caulobothrium sp. MZUSP 8009. RNAcentral describes it as "tRNA-Val". Lineage: Eukaryota; Metazoa; Platyhelminthes; Cestoda; Tetraphyllidea. The record is from RNAcentral.
UGCAAUGUAGUUUAUGAAAAAUUCUUAUUUUACACGUAAGAGAAUCCUUUUGGACUUUGUGA